AGAUUGAACGCUGGCGGCAGGCCUAACACAUGCAAGUCGAGCGGCAGCACGGGUACUUGUACCUGGUGGCGAGCGGCGGACGGGUGAGUAAUGCCUAGGAAUCUGCCUGGUAGUGGGGGAUAACGCUCGGAAACGGACGCUAAUACCGCAUACGUCCUACGGGAGAAAGCAGGGGACCUUCGGGCCUUGCGCUAUCAGAUGAGCCUAGGUCGGAUUAGCUAGUUGGUGGGGUAAUGGCUCACCAAGGCGACGAUCCGUAACUGGUCUGAGAGGAUGAUCAGUCACACUGGAACUGAGACACGGUCCAGACUCCUACGGGAGGCAGCAGUGGGGAAUAUUGGACAAUGGGCGAAAGCCUGAUCCAGCCAUGCCGCGUGUGUGAAGAAGGUCUUCGGAUUGUAAAGCACUUUAAGUUGGAGGAAGGCAGUUACCUAAUACGUAUCUGUUUGACGUUACGACAGAAUAAGCACCGGCUAACUCUGUGCCAGCACG
This 492-nucleotide ribosomal RNA is filed under the name uncultured soil bacterium. Its description in RNAcentral is "bacterial SSU rRNA". It matches the Rfam family "Bacterial small subunit ribosomal RNA", at positions 26 to 515 of the family's 1533-position model. The record is from RNAcentral.